This is a long non-coding RNA of Mytilus californianus (California mussel), 2113 nucleotides long. RefSeq lists it as uncharacterized. The transcript is spliced from 2 exons. Lineage: Eukaryota; Metazoa; Mollusca; Bivalvia; Mytilida; Mytilidae. The record is from RefSeq and is a predicted model, not a curated record.
AAUCAGUCGUAUACACUGAAAUGACGGGAGCGCUUGAUUUCACAUUGAAAACACCUGAAAAUGAAAAGAAAUAAAUACAUAUAGUAUAUGGAAUUAGCGAUAAUUGAAUAAAACAAACUUCAAGAUGUCGGUUUUAUACAAAGGGAAUGAAAAAAUGUACAUCGGAUUAAAUAUUGGAUUCAGUGUGAUGAUCGGGAUAAUCAUCGUAUUAUGUAUUGUAUGGAGACGCCUCUGUAUUAAAACAAAUAAUAUGAUUCAACAGAGGCAACUACAAGCCCACGAAAGAAAUCGUGCCUGGGGAGACGAUGGCAAGCCUGUGAAAAAGAGCUACACAGCAAAGAAAGAAAAUAAUUUCUAUAAUGACAAUAUACAUAACAAUAUACAUAGCAAUAUACAUAACAGCGUGGUUAUAGAAGAAGGAAAAGUGCAAAUGAAUGAGGCUGAGUUCUUACAAAAAUAUAUAUAGUUCAAAUCCUGUACUUUAAAGAGUUCUAAAUUCAAAUUCCAACGUUCUUCUUUUGGUUCUCUCUUUGCAUUGCACCACUAACGUAUUUGAUUACAUUCAUUUAAAUUCCUUUUGUUCAAUUUGAACAAUAUAUCAAGAAUUUUUAUCCUGAGGUAACCAGUCAGAAUUGACAAUUGUAAAAAUUAUUUUGUGCUUAUUUUGCAUUGCAUUCCAUUAGGUUUGUGUUUAUCUUGAAAUUGUGGUUUAACCUUAAUGGUGUUUGUUUAAAACUCGUAUUGUUUAUCGAUAUAACUUUUAUUGAAAGACAUGUUUAAAUCUAACAGUGAUUUAUCAUUGUAAUUGCAUUUGACGAGAAUUGGAAAGCAUUCAUAGCCUAACGCAUGGCAUCUUAUUUCAAAAUAUAUUUGUUAAUAAAAACGGUUUCCUUUGUCUUAUGUUACACAGAAGAUAUAGAUCUGGGUUUAGUUUGACCUUUUUUCAUUUGAUCAUCAAAACACUAAGCUUCUGUCCCUUCAACUAAUAUAUAAAAUGUAUUAAUUGUUCAAACAAACACAUCUUGAUAUUUUCAAAAUAUUAACUGGCAGAUUAAUAGAGGCAAAAGAGAGACCAUAUCGUACUUUCUAUUUCGAUAACUGUAUAGCAUUCCAUGUACGACUUGUUGAAGUGGAUUAUUUUGCUACUUAGAUAUUUACUUGCUGUUUGCCUCCUUGCAGAAAAAAGUAGAUAGUUAAAAUAAUUUUAUCUUUUUAAACAUUUUUCAAAGAUAGUUUAGGAAUUUAGGGAAAAGUCUAGACUUUAACAGUACUUACAGCUCUUUUCAUAAUGCUAGCAAGACAAAGUUUUGUUUGACUUGCUUGCUUUGUUUGUAUAAAUGUUUGCUCAAGCAUUGUAAUUAAGAUUGACAUCUGCAAACAAUAUAAGCAGGCGUAGUUAAACCUGUGUAUAGGUAAAUUUGAUUAUGUGAUAAUGUCCAAUCAAAUUUAAAUAUAAUGUAUACAAGUUUAAAUCCGCCUUUUUAUGUUGUUUUCAGAUGUCAAUCUUAAUUACAAUGCUCGAUCAAACACUGAUACAAACAAAGUAAGCAAGCCAAACAAACCUUUGUCUUGCUAGCAUUAUGAAAAGAGCUGUAAUCAAAAAUAAAUCUGGACUUAACAAUGAUUAACCAAAUAUUUCCAAUAAAUAUAUUAGGGUAGGCAUGAAAAGUUAAGGUAGGUAGGGAAAUACGACUAGAUUAUUUUGCCUUAUAUUUAUGUUUAAAUUGGUUGGAGUUGUACAUCAUAAUGUUAUAUUAUCAAAUGUUUGCUGCUUUAAUUUCAUGUCAACACGCUUGUCAUCGCGAAUUUUGAUUUGUUUUGUUGUUGGAUUCCAAUGUUUUUCUACUUUUUAUUCCACUGACCGUUAGUUCGAGUUACGGUCACUACAAUAAAGAUAUAACAUGUUAAAUUACAUGUACGACUUUUUAACAAACUAUUAUAUUUAAUACUUAGUCCACUCUUUGACCUGUUUUAUAUUCAUAAUUUUAUGUCAAUCAUUAAGAAGGUUAACCUUAAUUUUGUAAUAACUAUGUGAUCUGUGAUAUUCGGUAUGUUAACAUUGUCUUUCAUGUACAUGUAUUGUGCGAUCUCUAAAAUAAAAGUUGUUUAUCGA